AGCUUAUAGGACGUACAGAAAGAGGCAGCAAGUGGAAUGGUGAGCUGGAGUUUGCUGACCCCCAGGUCAGGGCUUUUUGGCAGAACCCAGUCCAGGAGGAUACAGAGAGAAGACAGGAACAAGCUUUGGAGUUGACACAUUCCUAGAACUGGAGCAGACAUGGAGCCAUAGCCAGAACACGGCAUUUUACAAAUGAGGAAUAGGCAGAAGGCUUCUUGCCACAAAAUCCCUAGGUAUAAUAAGCCAUGUGAAACACCUGCAUCUGGCCAUCGGCUCCUGAAAUUCAGACUCCGUAUCUUUGGAGGAAAUGGAGAAAUGAAUUUAUCCUUGAUCUUGAUCCAAUUUGGAUGUAGACCAACAAAGGUGUGAGCUCUUAGGAGG
Orcinus orca (killer whale) is the source of this 381-nucleotide long non-coding RNA. RefSeq lists it as uncharacterized. Lineage: Eukaryota; Metazoa; Chordata; Mammalia; Artiodactyla; Delphinidae. The record is from RefSeq and is a predicted model, not a curated record. The transcript has 4 exons.